UACGUAGGGGGCAAGCGUUGUCCGGAUUCAUUGGGCGUAAAGAGCGUGUAGGCGGUCUCGUAAGUCGGGUGUGAAAGCCCUGGGCUCAACCCAGGAAGUGCACUCGAAACUGCAAGGCUAGAGUACUGGAGAGGUUGGUGGAAUUCUCGGUGUAGAGGUGAAAUUCGUAGAUAUCGAGAGGAACACCGGUGGCGAAGGCGGCCAACUGGACAGAUACUGACGCUGAGACUCGAAAGCGUGGGGAGCAAACAGG
This 253-nucleotide ribosomal RNA is filed under the name uncultured bacterium. RNAcentral describes it as "partial 16S ribosomal RNA". It matches the Rfam family "Bacterial small subunit ribosomal RNA", at positions 524 to 776 of the family's 1533-position model. The record is from RNAcentral.